GGGCGUUGGAAAUUUGAGAAGAGCUGCUCCUAGUACGAGAGGACCGGAGUGGACGUACCUCUGGUGUUCCAGUUAUCAUGCCAAUGGUAUUGCUGGGUAGCUAUGUACGGACGGGAUAACCGCUGAAAGCAUCUAAGCGGGAAGCCUCCUUCAAGAUUAGAUUUCCCGACCCUUUAAGGGUCCUCAAGGUCCGUUGAAGACGACGACGUUGAUAGGCGGGAUGUGGAAGUGCAGUAAUGUAUGAAGCUAACCCGUACUAAUUGACCGUGAGGCUUGACCCU
Molecule: ribosomal RNA, 281 nt
Filed under: Candidatus Marithioploca araucensis
Lineage: Bacteria; Pseudomonadati; Pseudomonadota; Gammaproteobacteria; Thiotrichales; Thiotrichaceae
Description: partial 23S ribosomal RNA
Rfam family: Bacterial large subunit ribosomal RNA
Source: RNAcentral